Molecule: small RNA, 32 nt
Filed under: Bombyx mori (domestic silkworm)
Lineage: Eukaryota; Metazoa; Arthropoda; Insecta; Lepidoptera; Bombycidae
Description: ovarian small RNA-4043
Source: RNAcentral
UUCGGAGGGGGUAAGAGGGCCCAACCUCCAUA